Molecule: ribosomal RNA, 311 nt
Filed under: uncultured eukaryote
Lineage: Eukaryota
Description: partial 18S ribosomal RNA
Rfam family: Eukaryotic small subunit ribosomal RNA
Source: RNAcentral
CCCUUAGAUGUCCUGGGCCGCACGCGUGCUACACUGAUGCAUACAGCGAGUACUCCCAGCUCCGAGAGGCUGCUGGUAAUCAGCAAUAUGCAUCGUGAUGGGGAUAGAUCUUUGGAAUUAUAGAUCUUGAACGAGGGAUUCCUAGUAAUCGCAGGUCAUCACCCUGCGUUGACUAAGUCCCUGCCCUUUGUACACACCGCCCGUCGCUCCUACCGAUUUCGAGUGAUCCGGUGAAUCAUUCGGACCGCGGCCCCUAGGCAUGCGGAAAGUCUAGUAAACCAUAUCACUUAGAGGAAGGAGAAGUCGUAACA